GAUGAACGCUGGCAGCGUGCCUAAUACAUGCAAGUCGAGCGAACAGAUGAGGAUCUUGCUCCUCUGACAGUAGCGGCGGACGGGUGAGUAACACGUGGAUAACCUACCUAUAAGACUGAGAUAACGUCGGGAAUGCGGAGCUAAUACAGGAUAAUAUAUUGAACCGCAUGGUUCAAUAGUGAGAGACGGUGUUGCUGUCACUUAUAGAUGGAUCCGCGGCGCAUUAGCUAGUUGGUAAGGUAGCGGCUUACCAAGGCCAGGAUGCGUAGCCGACAUGGGAGGGUGAGGGGCCCCACCGGAACUGAGACACGGCCCAGAGUCCACCGGGAGGCAGCCGUAACGACUCCGCCGGACAGGGCGAAGGAAUAACGGAGCAAGGGCGCGUCAGUGAUGAAGGAAUUCGGAUCGUAAAACGCUGUUAUUAGGGAAGAACAAAUCUGUAAGCAACUAAGAACGAAUUGACGGUACCUGCUCAGAAAGCGACGGCUAACUACGUG
This 497-nucleotide ribosomal RNA is filed under the name uncultured bacterium. RNAcentral's name for it is "partial 16S ribosomal RNA". It matches the Rfam family "Bacterial small subunit ribosomal RNA", at positions 28 to 507 of the family's 1533-position model. The record is from RNAcentral.